This 254-nucleotide ribosomal RNA is filed under the name uncultured bacterium. RNAcentral's name for it is "partial 16S ribosomal RNA". It matches the Rfam family "Bacterial small subunit ribosomal RNA", at positions 524 to 776 of the family's 1533-position model. The record is from RNAcentral.
UACGUAGGGUGCAAGCGUUGUCCGGAAUUAUUGGGCGUAAAGAGCUCGUAGGCGGCCUGUUGCGUCCGCUGUGAAAUCCCGGGGCUCAACCCCGGGCCUGCAGUGGAUACGGGCUGGCUAGAGGCAGGCAGGGGAGAACGGAAUUCCUGGUGUAGCGGUGAAAUGCGCAGAUAUCAGGAGGAACACCGGUGGCGAAGGCGGUUCUCUGGGCCUGUACUGACGCUGAGGAGCGAAAGCGUGGGGGAGCGAACAGG